GGCAGAACAACAACUAGUGGACUGUGCGCAGGCUUUCAACAAUCAUGGAUGCAAUGGGGGUCUCCCAAGCCAAGCUUUUGAGUAUAUAAUGUAUAAUAAUGGAAUUAUGGGAGAAGACACGUAUCCUUAUGAAGGAAAGGAUGGCACUUGCAGAUUCAAGGGAGACAAGGCCAUUGCUUUUGUCAAAGAUGUGGUCAACAUAACAAUUG
Gracilinanus agilis (Agile Gracile Mouse Opossum) is the source of this 209-nucleotide long non-coding RNA. RefSeq lists it as uncharacterized. The record is from RefSeq and is a predicted model, not a curated record. Lineage: Eukaryota; Metazoa; Chordata; Mammalia; Didelphimorphia; Didelphidae. The transcript is spliced from 3 exons.